AGCGAACGCUGGCGGCAGGCCUAACACAUGCAAGUCGAACGAACCUUUCGGGGUUAGUGGCGGACGGGUGAGUAACACGUGGGAACGUGCCUUUAGGUUCGGAAUAACUCAGGGAAACUUGUGCUAAUACCGAAUGUGCCCUUCGGGGGAAAGAUUAAUCGCCUUUAGAGCGGCCCGCGUCUGAUUAGCUAGUUGGUUGAGGUAAUGGCUCACCAAGGCGACGAUCAGUAGCUGGUCUGAGAGGAUGAUCAGCCACAUUGGGACUGAGACACGGCCCAAACUCCUACGGGAGGCAGCAGUGGGGAAUCUUGCGCAAUGGGCGAAAGCCUGACGCAGCCAUGCCGCGUGAAUGAUGAAGGUCUUAGGAUUGUAAAAUUCUUUCACCGGGGACGAUAAUGACGGUACCCGGAGAAGAAGCCCCGGCUAAGUUCGUG
This 434-nucleotide ribosomal RNA is filed under the name uncultured bacterium. RNAcentral describes it as "partial 16S ribosomal RNA". It matches the Rfam family "Bacterial small subunit ribosomal RNA", at positions 29 to 507 of the family's 1533-position model. The record is from RNAcentral.